UACGAAGGGGGCUAGCGUUGUUCGGAAUUACUGGGCGUAAAGCGAGCGUAGGUUGCUCGAUGUGUCAGUGGUGAAAGCCCGGAGCUUAACUCCGGAACUGCCAUUGAAACUGUCUGGCUUGAGGCCGGGAGAGGGUAGCGGAAUUCCCAGUGUAGCGGUGAAAUGCGUAGAUAUUGGGAGGAACACCAGUGGCGAAGGCGGCUACCUGGACCGGUUCUGACGCUGAGGCGCGAAAGCGUGGGUAGCAAACAGG
This 253-nucleotide ribosomal RNA is filed under the name uncultured bacterium. RNAcentral describes it as "partial 16S ribosomal RNA". It matches the Rfam family "Bacterial small subunit ribosomal RNA", at positions 524 to 776 of the family's 1533-position model. The record is from RNAcentral.